GAACCUGAGGACCAAUGAAGUCAG
RNAcentral lists this non-coding RNA (24 nucleotides) under Cricetulus griseus (Chinese hamster). The record is from RNAcentral. Lineage: Eukaryota; Metazoa; Chordata; Mammalia; Rodentia; Cricetidae.